AACGAACGCUGGCGGCAGGCCUAACACAUGCAAGUCGAGCGAGGACUUCGGUUCUAGCGGCGGACGGGUGAGUAACGCGUGGGAAUGUGCCCUUCUCUACGGAAUAGCCCUGGGAAACUGGGUGUAAUACCGUAUACGCCCUAUUGGGGAAAGAUUUAUCGGAGAAGGAUCAGCCCGCGUUGGAUUAGGUAGUUGGUGGGGUAAUGGCCUACCAAGCCGACGAUCCAUAGCUGGUUUGAGAGGAUGAUCAGCCACACUGGGACUGAGACACGGCCCAGACUCCUACGGGAGGCAGCAGUGGGGAAUCUUAGACAAUGGGGGCAACCCUGAUCUAGCCAUGCCGCGUGAGUGAUGAAGGCCUUAGGGUUGUAAAGCUCUUUCAGCUGGGAAGAUAAUGACGGUACCAGCAGAAGAAGCCCCGGCUAACUCCGUG
Molecule: ribosomal RNA, 433 nt
Filed under: uncultured bacterium
Lineage: Bacteria
Description: partial 16S ribosomal RNA
Rfam family: Bacterial small subunit ribosomal RNA
Source: RNAcentral